This 253-nucleotide ribosomal RNA is filed under the name uncultured bacterium. RNAcentral's name for it is "partial 16S ribosomal RNA". It matches the Rfam family "Bacterial small subunit ribosomal RNA", at positions 524 to 776 of the family's 1533-position model. The record is from RNAcentral.
AACGUAGGUACCGAGCGCUAUCCGGAUUCACUGGGCGUAAAGGGUGCGUAGGUGGUGAGGUAAGUCGGAUGUGAAAGCUCCGAGCUCAACUCGGAAAUGGCAUUGGAAACUACCUUGCUAGAGGGUUUGAGGGGGGACUGGAAUACUUGGUGUAGCAGUGAAAUGCGUAGAUAUCAAGUGGAACACCAGUGGCGAAGGCGAGUCCCUGGAAAACUCCUGACACUGAGGCGCGAAAGCGUGGGGAGCAAACAGG